RNAcentral lists this non-coding RNA (30 nucleotides) under Mus musculus (house mouse). The record is from RNAcentral. Lineage: Eukaryota; Metazoa; Chordata; Mammalia; Rodentia; Muridae.
UUAAUGGCUCUGAGAUCAUGCAAUAGCGUC